This 511-nucleotide ribosomal RNA is filed under the name uncultured bacterium. RNAcentral's name for it is "bacterial SSU rRNA". It matches the Rfam family "Bacterial small subunit ribosomal RNA", at positions 1 to 505 of the family's 1533-position model. The record is from RNAcentral.
CCCUUAGAGUUUGAUCCUGGCUCAGAUUGAACGCUGGCGGCAGGCCUAACACAUGCAAGUCGAGCGGUAGCGCAGAGAGCUUGCUCUCGGGUGACGAGCGGCGGACGGGUGAGUAAUGUCUGGGAAACUGCCUGAUGGAGGGGGAUAACUACUGGAAACGGUAGCUAAUACCGCAUAACGUCGCAAGACCAAAGUGGGGGACCUUCGGGCCUCAUGCCAUCAGAUGUGCCCAGAUGGGAUUAGCUAGUAGGUGGGGUAAUGGCUCACCUAGGCGACGAUCCCUAGCUGGUCUGAGAGGAUGACCAGCCACACUGGAACUGAGACACGGUCCAGACUCCUACGGGAGGCAGCAGUGGGGAAUAUUGCACAAUGGGCGCAAGCCUGAUGCAGCCAUGCCGCGUGUGUGAAGAAGGCCUUCGGGUUGUAAAGCACUUUCAGCGGGGAGGAAGGCGUUAAGGUUAAUAACCUUGGCGAUUGACGUUACCCGCAGAAGAAGCACCGGCUACUCGUG